GUGAGGAAUAUUGGUCAAUGGGCGAGAGCCUGAACCAGCCAAGUAGCGUGCAGGAUGACGGCCCUAUGGGUUGUAAACUGCUUUUACACGGGGAUAAAGUGUGCGACGUGUCGUUCAUUGCAGGUACCGUGCGAAUAAGGACCGGCUAAUUCCGUGCCAGCAGCCGCGGUAAUACGGAAGGUCCGGGCGUUAUCCGGAUUUAUUGGGUUUAAAGGGAGCGUAGGCCGUCUGUUAAGCGUGUUGUGAAAUGUAGAUGCUCAACAUCUGAAUUGCAGCGCGAACUGACCGACUUGAGUGCGCAGGAAGUAGGCGGAAUUCGUGGUGUAGCGGUGAAAUGCUUAGAUAUAGGAAGGAACACCAGUGGCGAAGGCGACCACCUGGGCUCAUACUGACACUGAGGUGCGAAAGCGUGGGGAGCAAACAGGAUUAGAUACCCGAGUAGUCC
This 445-nucleotide ribosomal RNA is filed under the name uncultured bacterium. RNAcentral describes it as "partial 16S ribosomal RNA". It matches the Rfam family "Bacterial small subunit ribosomal RNA", at positions 354 to 796 of the family's 1533-position model. The record is from RNAcentral.